This 364-nucleotide ribosomal RNA is filed under the name uncultured rumen bacterium. RNAcentral's name for it is "bacterial SSU rRNA". It matches the Rfam family "Bacterial small subunit ribosomal RNA", at positions 19 to 363 of the family's 1533-position model. The record is from RNAcentral.
UUGGCUCAGGAUGAACGCUGGCGGCGUGCCUAACACAUGCAAGUCGAGCGGGGAUAUCCAGGAGGAGAGCUUCGGCAGGAAUCGGGAUAUCCAAGCGGCGGACGGGUGAGUAACGCGUGAGCAACCUGUCCCAGACAGGGGGAUGCCAGAUGGAAACAUCUGCUAAUACCGCAUAAGACCACGUUCUCGCAUGGGAGCGAGGUAAAAGGAGGAAUCCGGUUUGGGGUGGGCUCGCGUCCGAUUAGCUAGUUGGUGAGGUAACGGCUCACCAAGGCGACGAUCGGUAGCCGACCUGAGAGGGUGAUCGGCCACAUUGGAACUGAGACACGGUCCAAACUCCUACGGGAGGCAGCAGUGGGGAAUA